Molecule: small RNA, 51 nt
Filed under: uncultured Butyricicoccus sp.
Lineage: Bacteria; Bacillati; Bacillota; Clostridia; Eubacteriales; Butyricicoccaceae
Description: Streptococcus sRNA SpF59 (ldcC RNA)
Rfam family: Streptococcus sRNA SpF59 (ldcC RNA)
Source: RNAcentral
GACCACCCGUUUUCGGGUUAAGGCCAUGCGGACAGCCGGGUCGACUGCCGA